UACGUAGGUGGCAAGCGUUGUCCGGAUUUACUGGGCGUAAAGAGCGCGCAGGCGGUCGAUUUAGUCGCGUGUGAAAGCUCCCGGCUCAACUGGGGAGGGUCACGCGAUACUGAUCGACUCGAAGGCAGGAGAGGGUAGUGGAAUUCCCGGUGUAGUGGUGAAAUGCGUAGAUAUCGGGAGGAACACCAGUGGCGAAGGCGACUACCUGGCCUGUUCUUGACGCUGAGGCGCGAAAGCUAGGGGAGCAAACGGG
RNAcentral lists this ribosomal RNA (253 nucleotides) under uncultured bacterium. RNAcentral describes it as "partial 16S ribosomal RNA". It matches the Rfam family "Bacterial small subunit ribosomal RNA", at positions 524 to 776 of the family's 1533-position model. The record is from RNAcentral.